AUACGAAGGGUGCAAGCGUUGUUCGGAUUUACUGGGCGUAAAGCGUCCGUAGGUGGUUUGUUAAGUCAGGGGUGAAAUCCCGGGGCCUAACCCCGGAACUGCCUUUGAUACUGGCAGGCUGGAGCGCGAUAGAGGAAGAUGGAAUAUCUGGUGUAGGGGUGAAAUCCGUAGAUAUCAGAUAGAACACCAAUGGCGAAGGCAGUCGUCUGGAUCGUUGCUGACACUGAGGGACGAAAGCGUGGGUAGCAAACAGAAUUAGAUACUCUGGUAGUCCACGCCCUAAACGAUGCAUGCUUGUUGUUGGUUUCCUUCGGGGAAUCAGUGACGAAGCUAACGCGUUAAGCAUGCCGCCUGGGGACUACGAUCGCAAGAUUAAAACUUAAAGGAAUUGGCGGGG
This 397-nucleotide ribosomal RNA is filed under the name uncultured bacterium. Its description in RNAcentral is "partial 16S ribosomal RNA". It matches the Rfam family "Bacterial small subunit ribosomal RNA", at positions 523 to 918 of the family's 1533-position model. The record is from RNAcentral.